AGAUGAGCUGCCUUUACCUGCGAUUCAGGCUCCCACCUGAUGCUCAGAACAGCCUCCCAGAAGCUGCCUCCAGUAGAGCCUUUGGGGCCAUAUAGGCCUGAAUCCCAAUCAAGUCACAGGGGUUGGUGGAGUCUCUCUCUGGUGCAGACGUUCCGUUCCAGAGCCUUCGGUACAAGCUCGGACAGAUGAAAAGCUGUGUGUAAAGAACAAGCUUUCUGCAGAAGUGGAGAAUCCGGCCUGGCCUUCCCCAGCAGCCCUUCCCGGCUUCCAGUGGCCCCUCCUCCUGGGAACAAAGGACGAUGGAAAAGCCCGUGGGUGGAAGGAAGGCCCAGACCCCAGAGGAGGAAGUGCAUUCACUGAAGGACACACCCAAAGGAGAGAAAGCGUCGUCUGGGGAGGAAAGGCCAAGCAAGAGGUCCACGUUGGCAAAAAAGCACGGCAAGGAACCCAGCCCGAGUCCUGAGGAUGAGGAACAUUUAUUUGAUGCCUUCGAUGCUUCGUUUAAAGAUGACUUCGAGGGGGUUCCCGUGUUCAUUCCUUUUCAGAGAAAGAAGCCCUAUGGGUGCAGCGAGUGUGGACGCAUCUUUAAGCAUAAGACAGACCACCUCCGCCACCAGCGGGUUCACACUGGAGAGAAGCCCUUCAAAUGUGAUCGGUGUGGGAAGCUGUUCAGGCACAGCUCUGACGUCACCAAGCACCAGAGAAUCCACACCGGAGAGAAGCCCUUUAAAUGCAGUGAAUGUGGGAAGGCCUUUAACUGCAGUUCAAAUCUCCUAAAACAUCAGAAAACGCACACUGGGGAGAAGCCGUACGAAUGCAAGGAAUGUGGGAAAGCCUUCGCCUACAGCUCAUGUCUCAUUCGCCAUCGGAAACGCCACCCGCGGAAGAAGCACUGAGCGUGGGGAAGCCGUCUGCCGAGAGUCGGCGUUCGCGCCCGUGAGAACCAUCCAGGGCGGGCCUGUCCCGCCGUCCCCCAUCCAACGUCUGAUGGAGGCCGGGGGCCCGCGGGCUGUGCGCUCAGUGCACCUGUGCUUGUGGGUCUCCACCACCAUCCGGACGGUCAGCCCAGCCCGGUACACACGUGCUGGACUGGGGUACAGGCCAUCUCCAGGUCAAGACACCGUGAUAACAUGGGAGGAGACGCGUGCAGCUGCGGCACCAGAGACAGUGAGUGUGAUUGUGUCACGGCCGUCUGGGCGGGAGGGACAGCUGGAGCUUGCGAGCGGCCCAGCACCUCUCCCUGCGGCCUCCCUGUGGCACCUGCUCUGGUCUCUGCCUUUUCACCUGCUCCUUCGAAGACUUCAGGCUGCAGACUGCUGACCUGCUGGGUCCCGAGCCUAUCCCUGCACAGCCUGGCAGGAGGCCUGCGGUCAGGUCCCCACGGCGCUGCACCAGACACCUGCUGUCCCCACUCGGCUGGCCGUGGUGACAGUCCUGUGGUUUGUGUCUGGCUUCCCUCCUUGGGCUGGAGCACCAGUCCUGGGACUCCGCUUCCCCUUCCCCCACUGCAUCCCCAGGAACUGGACCCCCUGGCCCAGCCCCCAACCCCGGGUGAGCAGCCCGACUCACCCAGAUGGACCACUCAGGACCUAGAUGCUGCCACCAUGGGAGAUUCCUGCCCUGGACGCGUGGUGGGGGCCCCAAGGAUGUGAGGGCAGCUUCGAGCCAGCCUGCAUCUGCCGUGGGGGUCUUCAGACAUGAGGCAGUGUGUGUGCCCUGCCCUCCGGGGAUCAGCUCUCCAGGGCCAGCAGGACAGAUCCCCAGAAAGGGAAUCGACAGGUGGAGACCAUUCUGGCAAAUCCCCUCCUCCUGGCCAUGCCAGAUGGGCGCCCCCACAGCCCAAGGACGGCAGGCUUGCCCCGGCCUCUCCAGCAGCAGGCAGGUGGG
Molecule: RNA transcript, 1887 nt
Organism: Leopardus geoffroyi (Geoffroy's cat)
Lineage: Eukaryota; Metazoa; Chordata; Mammalia; Carnivora; Felidae
Gene: ZFP41
Gene name: ZFP41 zinc finger protein
Exons: 3
Source: RefSeq, a predicted model, not a curated record